UUUUUUAUCUCUGUUUUAUAGAGAAACAAAAAUAGGUUAUUCUUAAACUGUUCACUGCGCUGGAGAAAAAUGAUGUGUCCCCAGUUCAAUUCCUUUCUUAGUUAAUCCAGUUAAAAUGGGCCUAUACUACAGAAAACUCUUCUAGCAGAUAACUUAUGUCUGAGCUUAUUCUGAGCAGAGAAACAUUGAGCAGACAAACCAGUUUCAACUCUAGGAAAAAGCCAUUAAGUGCUAUUGUAGGAAAGGCUUAGAAGCUAGUUUUCAGUACUUUGUUGCCUGGGAAACACUGCUUACCUUUCUAGUUUCCAUAGCAUUCCCAUGACACUGAACAUUCAAAACCUGAGAAAUUACCAAAAUGAUUGUCACAACUGCGUAACCACAGUUGCUUUGUCAUUGUGUUCUCUUUGAAUAACUGGGUUCCAGAAGCCAUGGAUCACAUCUCUUUUUACUUGUUCCCCCUAUUAGUAGGCACAGUGCAAUCUCUACCAUCAACUAACAGUUAUCUGUCAUCUGCUGCUGCUGGGGGAGACAAGGUGCUCUCAAAUGAUGCUGAGGACAGCGUGACAAAGGUUCCUCCGGUAUAUGGGACUUCUGCAUCUGCUUCCUCAUUACAUCAAGAACUCUCCCUGUGUGCUGAACGAGUAGCACGAACUCCAAGACCUGACUCUAGAUAUCUGCCUAGAAACAAAAGAUAUGAAAAUUCUACCACAGAUUCACCUGAAGAGUCUAUUUCCCUCAGAACAACAAAGGAAAAGCUAUCCAAGCAAGAGCUUCAUGAAGUGUCAGAAAAACUCUCUUGCAGGUUAAAUGAACUCGAUUUAGUAAGUGAAAUCUAUUCUUUGUUGUAUCUGAGCAAUCUAGCCUUAGUAAUGAUAGCAGGGAGAACAAGAAUA
Molecule: long non-coding RNA, 893 nt
Filed under: Athene cunicularia (burrowing owl)
Lineage: Eukaryota; Metazoa; Chordata; Aves; Strigiformes; Strigidae
Description: lncRNA (ENSACUG00000003828.1)
Source: RNAcentral